RNAcentral lists this unclassified non-coding RNA (852 nucleotides) under Drosophila virilis. Its description in RNAcentral is "GJ25696". Lineage: Eukaryota; Metazoa; Arthropoda; Insecta; Diptera; Drosophilidae. The record is from RNAcentral.
AACGUAUUAAAUCUUCAGCGUGCCAAAGUUUCUUAUACAAUUACAAAUACGAAAUCUAAUAGAAAUGUGCUGCUCCAAUGAUUGUCUCGAAAAAGUCUGUUGUUCGCUGGAGGUCAAGGCGCUGUUCUUCAGCAUUUGGACUAUCGUACAUGGAGUAAUUUUUUUUGGAGCAUCAAUUUACUUUUUUGUUGCUGCAAUUAAUUGUCCACUAUAUGGGGCCAUUCUGGCAUUGAUAGGCGCCAUGGUGCAUCUAGCAGGUGGACUAUGCUUGUUAUUUGGCUAUGGGGCUGACAUGAGACCCUUGUUUUUGGCUGGCAUCAUUCUGAGCUCCAUAAUUCCCUAUAUAUUAUUGCCAUCUAUUUACCUACCAGUCAUUCAAAUAAUCUUUACUAUUACAUCAUGCAUAUAUUAUAAAAAAGAGAUGCCAAAAUAAUACCGGACUAUGAUGAUACCGGUUUAUGAUUUCGAUUGCUGAUCCAGAAUCAAUUCAAACAAUUACAAAUUUAUUUGAAAGCAAAUGGAAAUUGAUGACAAAAAUGCAAUGGGAAAAUUUAGUUCUUAUAGAUAAUUGGAAUCGAAUUCCUAUUUCUAUAGAAACUUAAUCUUAGGCGGAAAGUAAUCUAUAGGACACUUUUUACAAAACUUUAUACCAUAGCUUUUUAUAGUUGAUUUUCAGGCAUCUCCUAGUCCUAAUUAUGUUUAUAUUCUAAUAGAUAUUCAAAAUUGUUGUAGUACGUAAACAAAAUUCCAGUUAAUUACCAGGCCUGCUCAAUUAUAUUCAUGUAGUUGACACAAAAUUUUUGAAUGACAUUAUAAGCUGUCAAAGUCGUUGAUGUAAACCAAUAAAUUAUA